This 96-nucleotide transfer RNA is filed under the name Acidobacteriota bacterium. Its description in RNAcentral is "tRNA-Sec". It matches the Rfam family "Selenocysteine transfer RNA". Lineage: Bacteria; Pseudomonadati; Acidobacteriota. RNAcentral also lists the same sequence under 2 other names. The record is from RNAcentral.
GGAAGCUCCACUGGGCCGGUGCCUGGCCUGGUCUUCAAAACCAGCGGGCGGCGCCUGCGCGCCGCUGGUGGGUUCGACUCCCACGAGCUUCCGCCA